Long non-coding RNA from Ictalurus furcatus (blue catfish), 2666 nucleotides. RefSeq lists it as uncharacterized. The record is from RefSeq and is a predicted model, not a curated record. The transcript has 3 exons. NCBI's taxonomy places the organism in Eukaryota, Metazoa, Chordata, Actinopteri, Siluriformes, Ictaluridae.
CCUGGGUACACACACUUGUGUUUGAGAAAGAGAUAGAGCCUGCGUGCUCUGACAACAGAAAACGCCACUUUUUAAUGCGCGGUGUGAUCACGUGCUGAUUUAAAUUCCAAUCUCGUGUAAUUCGCUUAGCUAUCAGUCACACGGUAACUUAACACAUAUACAUUUUCUCUCUGUGUGUGUGUGUGUGUGUGUGUGUGUGUGUGAAAAUGAAGAGAAAGCAGGCGAGUCUCCCGGCCCACUUUAUGAAUGCGCAGCGCAGCCCAUUGGGAAUUUUCCCGAUUUUCCCGAUGGCCUCUCCGGGCCUGGCCCUAUCUCAGUGACGAGACCCCGAUGGAAGGAGAAGCUCUUGUGAUCCGAUCGGGGCGCUGAGGUGGGACCGGAGCGCUUGAAUAUUGAGAAAUGGCCGACGAGGGAAAUUAAUGGCAUAUUACAGCCCAGGGACAGAGUAAGGCCUCUGUAAUAAUGAAACUAUGGGAACUCAAUACACCCUCUAGCCAAAACACAGCCAGAGAGUGUGCACACACACACACACACACGUAUAUACACCCACACUGCAGACAUUAUACACACACUAUUGAAGUUCUCAGCUGCAUACUUCCUCGCUCAAGGCUCUAUUUUUCUGCUUCUAACUACAUCCACAUUAGCAAGAGACUAGUCACUUGCCUCGCUUGUGGGCGUGUAGUGACUGCUCGUGUUGUAGCUUGUGUUGUGCUAGUGUGUGUGUGUUUUUUUUAUUAUUUAAUUCUGAUGAGAAACAAUGGUGGUCAAAAUGGAUAUGCAUCUAAAGCUUACAAGUUAAACACAACUUAAAUAAUCUGCUAGUCAGUGUGAAAACCCGCUUUUUGGUUUACAUGCUAAAUGCACAGCUUCGUACUAGCGUCGUUCUCAGAUUAGAUUAGCAAAGCAAGCUUUGCUAUUUUAUUUUGGGGGAAUCCAACAACCAUCCUGAUGUUUUUAGGCUCUGAGGACAAGCUGACCAACGUAAUCAAUCAUCAUCACCGUGAAAGACGGAAACGCGGAAACGAAAAGGAAACAAAGGCUUCGACAAAAAUCAGACUAAACUGAUCAAGGACUGAACUCAGAACAGGUGCACAUAUUAGGUAACAGACUAAUGAGAAGACAGGGGACGGAGACAGGACCAAAACACAGGCAUAUGACAAUGUAAACAAAAAAUGCUAACUUCACAACACACGAAUUUACGAAAAUACAGCAACAAGCAACAAAUUAGCUCCAGAAUUGCUAACAAACAAACAACAAAUAUUUCACUAUAAACAGAUUUAACAUGGAGGGUUUUUUUUACCGUAAUGAGAACAAAAUGAAGCAAGUUGUCGUAGAAAGAUGACGACAUCACAGCUGGGUCGUAACUGCUGAAUCCUGGAAGCAAGUGAGGCAGUAAAGAUAUCAGAAGUGAGAGAGAGAGAGAGAGAGAGAGAGAGAGAGAAUGUGCUAUUUAUGUAUUUUUUUCAUUUAUGGUAGAAAACUGCAGAACAUCUCGUUAUUCACACUGUUCCCAAGCGUCUGGAGGAAAGUCAACAUGUUUUCAAAGCCUCAGUUGCCUAGAACUGUUCUCAAGCUGAAGCACAGCAUACACCCAAAAGUAUGUGCACCCCUGACCAUCACACCCAUAUGUGGUUCUUCUCCAAACUGUUCCCACAAAGUUGGAAUGGUAUAGAAUGUCUCUGUAUGCUGUAGUAUUACUAUUCCCCUUCACUGGAACUACACAGCUCAGACCUGUUCCAGCAUGACGAUGCCCUUGUGCACAAAACGAGCUCCAUGAAGACAUGGUGUGUUAAGGUGGGAGUGGAAGAACUCCAGUGUCCUGCACAGAGCCCUGACAUCAACCCCACUGAACACCUUUGGGAUGAAUCUGAACACCGACUGCACCCCAGAUCUCCUCACCCAACAUCAGUACCUGACCUCACUAAUGCUCUUAUAGCUGAACGAACACAAAUCCCCACAACCACGCUCCGAAAUCUAGUGGAAAGCCUUCCCAGAAGAGUGGAGCUUAAUAUAACAGUGAAGGGGGAAUAAAUCUGGAAUGAGAUGCUCAACAAGCACAUAUUGGUGUGAUGGUCAGCUGUGUUUAAACAUUUUAAGCGCAGAUCAACAGUCAAAAUGUCUCCCCAUGCAGAUAUUAGAUUUGUAAAAGGAUUAUAUAGAAAAUGUUUUUGGUGAUGGUAAAUCACAAGCAGUGGAUAGUCAAUAUCGCAUAAGCCUACAGUGCACAUAUAAAUAACAAGCCUAAAUAUUUAAACUGUUAGAUUAUGUUCAUAAAAUAAAUCUGUACUUAGAGGAUCUUUUCUCUCAAACCAUAUUGUUUCUAAUUAUUAUUAUUUUUUUUUUUUUUUUGCUACUUCUCAUGGAAAAACAAGUUUUUUAUUUAUUUAUUUUUAAAAACAAGUACCAUUUCUUAGACGUUUGUCACCAUCUGGACCUUCUGUUCCUGGGAUUUGACACCAAGGUUCCUGCUUCUGUCCAAUCAGAAACACAGAACCGUGAAACAGAACUGUUCCGGGUUUUGACUGUUCAGCAUGGUGGAGUUCUCAAGAGACACUACAGAUGUGUGAUUAAUGGAGAUCUUUAGAAAACAUAUUGCUUUCGGAGAUUGUUAGGUUAAUUAAUUUCAAACUUCAGUUGGAGGAUGAGAAGACAUUUUAAUGAUUUUU